UACGUAGGUCCCGAGCGUUGUCCGGAUUUAUUGGGCGUAAAGCGAGCGCAGGUGGUUUAUUAAGUCUGGUGUAAAAGGCAGUGGCUCAACCAUUGUAUGCAUUGGAAACUGGUAGACUUGAGUGCAGGAGAGGAGAGUGGAAUUCCAUGUGUAGCGGUGAAAUGAGUAGAUAUAUGGAGGAACACCGGUGGCGAAAGCGGCUCUCUGGCCUGUAACUGACACUGAGGCUCGAAAGCGUGGGGAGCAAACAGG
Molecule: ribosomal RNA, 252 nt
Filed under: uncultured bacterium
Lineage: Bacteria
Description: partial 16S ribosomal RNA
Rfam family: Bacterial small subunit ribosomal RNA
Source: RNAcentral